RNAcentral lists this ribosomal RNA (253 nucleotides) under uncultured bacterium. Its description in RNAcentral is "partial 16S ribosomal RNA". It matches the Rfam family "Bacterial small subunit ribosomal RNA", at positions 524 to 776 of the family's 1533-position model. The record is from RNAcentral.
UACGUAGGGUGCAAGCGUUAAUCGGAAUUACUGGGCGUAAAGCGUGCGCAGGCGGUUAUGUAAGACAGAUGUGAAAUCCCCGGGCUCAACCUGGGAACUGCAUUUGUGACUGCAUAGCUAGAGUACGGUAGAGGGGGAUGGAAUUCCGCGUGUAGCAGUGAAAUGCGUAGAUAUGCGGAGGAACACCGAUGGCGAAGGCAAUCCCCUGGACCUGUACUGAUGCUCAUGCACGAAAGCGUGGGGAGCAAACAGG